ACGGAAGGCAGCAGUGGGGAAUAUUGCACAAUGGGGGAAACCCUGAUGCAGCGACGCCGCGUGAGUGAAGAAGUUAUUCGUAAUGUAAAGCUCUAUCAGCAGGGAAGAAAAUGACGGUACCUGACUAAGAAGCCCCGGCUAACUACGUGCCAGCAGCCGCGGUAAUACGUAGGGGGCAAGCGUUAUCCGGAUUUACUGGGUGUAAAGGGAGCGCAGACGGCUUUGCAAGUCUGAUGUGAAAGGCAGGGGCUCAACUCCUGGACUGCAUUGGAAACUGUAGGGCUAGAGUGUCGGAGAGGUAAGCGGAAUUCCUAGUGUAGCGGUGAAAUGCGUAGAUAUUAGGAGGAACACCAGUGGCGAAGGCGGCCUGCUGGACUGUUACUGACGCUGAGGCACGAAAGCGUGGGGAGCAAACAGGAUUAGAUACCCUGGUA
Molecule: ribosomal RNA, 434 nt
Filed under: uncultured Lachnospiraceae bacterium
Lineage: Bacteria; Bacillati; Bacillota; Clostridia; Lachnospirales; Lachnospiraceae
Description: partial 16S ribosomal RNA
Rfam family: Bacterial small subunit ribosomal RNA
Source: RNAcentral